CCUACGGGGCGCAGCAGUGAGGAAUAUUGGUCAAUGGACGAGAGUCUGAACCAGCCAAGUAGCGUGACGGAUGACUGCCCUAUGGGUUGUAAACUUCUUUUAUAUGGGGGUAAAACGCUCUACGCGUGGGAUUCUGUAAGUACCAUACGAAUAAGGAUCGGCUAACUCCGUGCCAGCAGCCGCGGUAAUACGGAGGAUUCGAGCGUUAUCCGGAUUUAUUGGGGUUAAAGGGGGCGUAGGCGGAUAUUUAAGUUAGUUGUUAAAGUAUGGGGCUCAACCGUAAAAUUGCAGUUGAAACUGGCAGGCUAGAGAACAGUAGAGGUAGGCGGAAUUCGUGGUGUAGCGGUGAAAUGCAUAGAUAUCACAUAGAACACCGAUUGCGAAGGCAGUUCACUAGACU
This 400-nucleotide ribosomal RNA is filed under the name uncultured bacterium. RNAcentral describes it as "partial 16S ribosomal RNA". It matches the Rfam family "Bacterial small subunit ribosomal RNA", at positions 338 to 735 of the family's 1533-position model. The record is from RNAcentral.